RNAcentral lists this ribosomal RNA (253 nucleotides) under uncultured bacterium. Its description in RNAcentral is "partial 16S ribosomal RNA". It matches the Rfam family "Bacterial small subunit ribosomal RNA", at positions 524 to 776 of the family's 1533-position model. The record is from RNAcentral.
UACGUAGGGUGCAAGCGUUAAUCGGAAUUACUGGGCGUAAAGCGUGCGCAGGCGGUUAUGUAAGACAGGUGUGAAAUCCCCGGGCUUAACCUGGGAACUGCAUUUGUGACUGCAUAGCUAGAGUCCGGUAGGGGAUCACGGAAUUCCUGGUGUAGCGGUGAAAUGCGCAGAUAUCAGGAGGAACACCGAUGGCGAAGGCAGGUCUCUGGGCUGACACUGACGCUCAUGCACGAAAGCGUGGGGAGCAAACAGG